This 498-nucleotide ribosomal RNA is filed under the name uncultured bacterium. RNAcentral's name for it is "partial 16S ribosomal RNA". It matches the Rfam family "Bacterial small subunit ribosomal RNA", at positions 28 to 507 of the family's 1533-position model. The record is from RNAcentral.
GACGAACGCUGGCGGCGUGCCUAAUACAUGCAAGUCGAGCGGACGGAUGGGAGCUUGCUCCCAGACCGUCAGCGGCGGACGGGUGAGUAACACGUGGGCAACCUGCCUGUAAGACUGGGAUAACUCCGGGAAACCGGGGCUAAUACCGGAUAACUCUUUCCCUCACAUGAGGGAAAGCUGAAAGAUGGCAUCUCGCUAUCACUUACAGAUGGGCCCGCGGCGCAUUAGCUAGUUGGUGAGGUAACGGCUCACCAAGGCGACGAUGCGUAGCCGACCUGAGAGGGUGAUCGGCCACACUGGGACUGGGACACGGCCCAGACUCCUACGGGAGGCAGCAGUAGGGAAUCUUCCGCAAUGGACGGAAGUCUGACGGAGCAACACCGCGUGAGUGAUGAAGGUGUUCGGAUCGUAAAACUCUGUUGUCAGGGAAGAACAAGUACCGGAGUAACUGCCGGUACCUUGACGGUACCUGACCAGAAAGCCACGGCUAACUACGUG